This 456-nucleotide ribosomal RNA is filed under the name uncultured bacterium. Its description in RNAcentral is "bacterial SSU rRNA". It matches the Rfam family "Bacterial small subunit ribosomal RNA", at positions 1 to 425 of the family's 1533-position model. The record is from RNAcentral.
GAAUCACCGUCUCCGAAUGCUCUAAUUAUGAGUUGAUCAUGGCUCAGAUUGAACGCUGGCGGCCAGGCCUAACACAUGCAAGUCGAGCGGAUGACGGGAGCUUGCUCCUUGAUUCAGCGGCGGACGGGUGAGUAAUGCCUAGGAAUCUGCCUGGUAGUGGGGGACAACGUUUCGAAAGGAACGCUAAUACCGCAUACGUCCUACGGGAGAAAGCAGGGGACCUUCGGGCCUUGCGCUAUCAGAUGAGCCUAGGUCGGAUUAGCUAGUUGGUGGGGUAAUGGCUCACCAAGGCGACGAUCCGUAACUGGUCUGAGAGGAUGAUCAGUCACACUGGAACUGAUGACACGGUCCAGACUCCUACGGGAGGCAUGUCGAGUGGGGAAUAUUGGACAAUGGGCGAAAGCCUGAUUCCAUGNCCNAUUGGCCCGCAGUUGUUGUUGAAAGAAGGGUCUUCUG